RNAcentral lists this ribosomal RNA (483 nucleotides) under uncultured bacterium. RNAcentral's name for it is "partial 16S ribosomal RNA". It matches the Rfam family "Bacterial small subunit ribosomal RNA", at positions 29 to 506 of the family's 1533-position model. The record is from RNAcentral.
AUUGAACGCUGGCGGCAUGCUUUACACAUGCAAGUCGAACGGCAGCGCGGGCUUCGGCCUGGCGGCGAGUGGCGAACGGGUGAGUAAUGCAUCGGAACGUGCCCAGUAGUGGGGGAUAGCCCGGCGAAAGCCGGAUUAAUACCGCAUACGACCUGAGGGUGAAAGCGGGGGACCGAAAGGCCUCGCGCUAUUGGAGCGGCCGAUGUCGGAUUAGCUAGUUGGUGGGGUAAAGGCUUACCAAGGCGACGAUCCGUAGCUGGUCUGAGAGGAGGACCAGCAACACUGGAACUGGGACACGGCCCAGACUCCUACGGGAGGCAGCAGUGGGGAAUUUUGGACAAUGGGGGCAACCCUGAUCCAGCCAGGCCGCGUGCGGGAAGAAGGCCUUCGGGUUGUAAACCGCUUUUGUUCGGGAAGAAAUCCUCUGGGCUAAUACCCCGGGGGGAUGACGGUACCGGAAGAAUAAGCACCGGCUAACUACGU